AUACGUAGGUCCCGAACGUUGCGCGAAAUUACUGGGCGUAAAGGGUCCGUAGGCGGUCUGGUAAGUGGAAGGUGAAAGCCUGGGGCUCAACUCCAGAAUUGCCUUCCAAACUGCCGGACUUGAGGCAGGGAGAGGUCGGCGGAAUUCCCGGUGUAGGGGUGAAAUGCGUAGAUAUCGGGAGGAACACCAGUGGCGAAGGCGGCCGACUGGAACUGUCCUGACGCUGAGGGACGAAAGCCAGGGGAGCGAACCGGAUUAGAAACCCUAGUAGUCC
This 274-nucleotide ribosomal RNA is filed under the name uncultured bacterium. Its description in RNAcentral is "partial 16S ribosomal RNA". It matches the Rfam family "Bacterial small subunit ribosomal RNA", at positions 523 to 796 of the family's 1533-position model. The record is from RNAcentral.